This 492-nucleotide ribosomal RNA is filed under the name uncultured bacterium. RNAcentral describes it as "partial 16S ribosomal RNA". It matches the Rfam family "Bacterial small subunit ribosomal RNA", at positions 29 to 507 of the family's 1533-position model. The record is from RNAcentral.
AGUGAACGCUGGCGGUAGGCCUAACACAUGCAAGUCGAACGGCAGCACAGUAAGAGCUUGCUCUUACGGGUGGCGAGUGGCGGACGGGUGAGGAAUACAUCGGAAUCUACUUUUUCGUGGGGGAUAUCGUAGGGCAACUUACGCUAAUACCGCAUACGACCUACGGGUGAAAGCAGUGGAUCUUCGGACCUUGCGCGAUUGAAUGAGCCGGUGUCGGAUUAGCUAGUUGGCGUGGUAAAGGCCCACCAAGGCAACGAUCCGUAGCUGGUCUGAGAGGAUGAUCGGCCACACUGGAACUGAGACACGGUCCAGACUCCUACGGGAGGCAGCAGUGGGGAAUAUUGGACAAUGGGCGCAAGCCUGAUCCAGCCAUACCGCGUGGGUGAAGAAGGUCUUCGGGUUGUAAGGCCCUUUUGUUGGGAAAGAAAAGCAGCAGGUUAAUACCCCGCUGUUCUGACGGUACCCAAAGAAUAAGCACCGGCUAACUUCGUG